GACGAACGCUGGCGGCGUGCUUAACACAUGCAAGUCGAACGGAAAGGCCCUGCUUUUGUGGGGUGCUCGAGUGGCGAACGGGUGAGUAACACGUGAGUAACCUGCCCUUGACUUUGGGAUAACUUCAGGAAACUGGGGCUAAUACCGGAUAGGAGCUCCUGCUGCAUGGUGGGGGUUGGAAAGUUUCGGCGGUUGGGGAUGGACUCGCGGCUUAUCAGCUUGUUGGUGGGGUAGUGGCUUACCAAGGCUUUGACGGGUAGCCGGCCUGAGAGGGUGACCGGGCACAAUGGGACUGAGAAACGGGCCAGACUCCUACGGGAGGCAGCAGUGGGGAAUAUUGCACAAUGGGCGGAAGCCUGAUGCAGCAACGCCGCGUGCGGGAUGACGGCCUUCGGGUUGUAAACCGCUUUCGCCUGUGACGAAGCGUGAGUGACGGUAAUGGGUAAAGAAGCACCGGCUAACUACGUG
Molecule: ribosomal RNA, 468 nt
Filed under: uncultured bacterium
Lineage: Bacteria
Description: partial 16S ribosomal RNA
Rfam family: Bacterial small subunit ribosomal RNA
Source: RNAcentral